Anastrepha ludens (Mexican fruit fly) is the source of this 624-nucleotide long non-coding RNA. RefSeq lists it as uncharacterized. Lineage: Eukaryota; Metazoa; Arthropoda; Insecta; Diptera; Tephritidae. The record is from RefSeq and is a predicted model, not a curated record. The transcript is spliced from 4 exons.
AAUCAGUGCAAGCAAAAAUUUAUUUUCAACCAGUAAACUACCCAAAGUAGACAGCAUACAAAAGACAAUUCUUGCAAUCAUCGCCUUGACCCUCUUCGGUCUGUGUUGAUCUUCCAGCACAAAGUAAUUUCGACGUGAAGGCUUAUAUGGGCACCUUUUACGAAUAUUCCAGUACCCUGUUGAUUUCGAAAACGACAAUAAGUGUGUGACAGUAUCACUCCUGCGAAAAAGUCAAAAUGAAAUCGCUGUACUAGAUACAAUGACCGGCAAAAAACCCAUUCUCUCCGGUAGUGCCACGCUGAUUUCGAAUGGAAAGUUUCAGGCUUCCUAAAACCUUGCUACCAAUCUAUUGGAUUGUGUCUACCGAUUUCGUUAGCUACGCAAUUGUUUACUCCUGCGAGUCCGCGAAAGCUAGAAAGGAAUGAGUUUCAAUGGUAUUGAUCUCACGCCAUUCACUCUUACAGAGCAAAGCACUUUCUAAGCAGCAAUUUAUGGUAAUUCCUUCUAAAUGUUAAAAACCGCAAUGGAUUGGCUUGAAACUACAGAAAUCUAAAAAACAUAUGUAUUCUUAACAUCUGGAAUUGAUAAAACUAACUUUUUGUUAAAUAUAGUAUCAAAUAAAUA